Molecule: transfer RNA, 121 nt
Filed under: Rhizoctonia solani 123E
Lineage: Eukaryota; Fungi; Basidiomycota; Agaricomycetes; Cantharellales; Ceratobasidiaceae
Rfam family: tRNA
About the family: Transfer RNA (tRNA) molecules are approximately 80 nucleotides in length.
Source: Rfam by way of RNAcentral
GCCCGCCUGGCGCAAUGGUGGCGCGCCAGACUUCUAAUCCACGACUUAAGUAAUCAAAGUGCUUACGUAAGCUGUUGUUUAUGUAAUCUGGAGGCUGCGGGUUCGAGUCCCGCGGUGGGUU